This 376-nucleotide ribosomal RNA is filed under the name uncultured organism. RNAcentral's name for it is "partial 16S ribosomal RNA". It matches the Rfam family "Bacterial small subunit ribosomal RNA", at positions 527 to 896 of the family's 1533-position model. The record is from RNAcentral.
GGGGGGGGCAAGCGUUUGUUCGGAAUUACUGGGCGUAAAGGGCGCGCAGGCGGCCCGGCAAGUCCUACGUGAAAUCCCACAGCUCAACUGUGGAACUGCGUGGGAUACUGCCAGGCUUGAGUCCGGGAGAGGAGAGUGGAAUUCCCAGUGUAGCGGUGAAAUGCGUAGAUAUUGGGAGGAACACCGGUGGCGAAGGCGGCUCUCUGGACCUGUACUGACGCUGAGGCGCGAAAGCUAGGGGAGCAAACGGGGGAUUAGAUACCCCGGUAGUCCUAGCCGUAAACUUUGAGCACUUGGUGUGGCGGGUAUCGACCCCCUGCCGUGCCGAAGCUAACGCAUUAAGUGCUCCGCCUGGGGGAGUACGGUCGCAAGGCUG